Molecule: ribosomal RNA, 376 nt
Filed under: uncultured bacterium
Lineage: Bacteria
Description: bacterial SSU rRNA
Rfam family: Bacterial small subunit ribosomal RNA
Source: RNAcentral
UACGAAGGGUGCAAGCGUUACUCGGAAUUACUGGGCGUAAAGCGUGCGUAGGUGGUUGUUUAAGUCUGUUGUGAAAGCCCUGGGCUCAACCUGGGAACUGCAGUGGAAACUGGACAACUAGAGUGUGGUAGAGGGUAGCGGAAUUCCCGGUGUAGCAGUGAAAUGCGUAGAGAUCGGGAGGAACAUCCAUGGCGAAGGCAGCUACCUGGACCAACACUGACACUGAGGCACGAAAGCGUGGGGAGCAAACAGGAUUAGAUACCCUGGUAGUCCACGCCCUAAACGAUGCGAACUGGAUGUUGGGUGCAAUUUGGCACGCAGUAUCGAAGCUAACGCGUUAAGUUCGCCGCCUGGGGAGUACGGUCGCAAGACUGAA